Molecule: non-coding RNA, 159 nt
Organism: Pelobates cultripes (western spadefoot toad)
Lineage: Eukaryota; Metazoa; Chordata; Amphibia; Anura; Pelobatidae
Source: the annotation of a GenBank genome assembly
GCGAGAGGGAGCACUCUCCUCUCUGUGCUUCUUCUUCAGCUCCCUCGUGCAACGUACUGAUGCCGGAGCCGGAAGAUGACAUCAUCUUCCGGCUCCGGCAUCAGUACGGUGCGAGAGGGAGCUGAAGAGGAAGCACAUAGAGGAGUGCUCACAACUGUU